AUUGAACGCUGGCGGAAUGCUUUGCACAUGCAGGUCGAGCGGCAGCGCGGGGCAACCUGGCGGCGAGCGGCGAACGGGUGAGUAAUGUAUCGGAACGUGUCCUGUCGUGGGGGAUAGCCCGGUGAAAACCGGAUUAAUACCGCAUACGAUCGAGAGAUGAAAGUGGGGGACCGCAAGGCCUCACGCGAUAGGAGCGGCCGAUAUCUGAUUAGCUAGUUGGUGGGGUAAAGGCCCACCAAGGCUUCGAUCAGUAGCUGGUCUGAGAGGAUGAUCAGCCACACUGGGACUGAGACACGGCCCAGACUCCUACGGGAGGCAGCAGUGGGGGAUUUUGGACAAUGGGGGCAACCCUGAUCCAGCCAUUCCGCGUGAGUGAAGAAGGCCUUCGGGUUGUAAAGCUCUUUUGUCCGGGAAGAAACGGUUUCACCUAAUACGUGAGACUACUGACGGUACCGGAAGAAUAAGGACCGGCUAACUACGUGCCAGCAGCCGCCGUAA
This 498-nucleotide ribosomal RNA is filed under the name uncultured bacterium. Its description in RNAcentral is "partial 16S ribosomal RNA". It matches the Rfam family "Bacterial small subunit ribosomal RNA", at positions 30 to 523 of the family's 1533-position model. The record is from RNAcentral.